UCUUUCUCGGGAUGUGGUUUCUAACCCUAAAAUGGUGUUCCUUCCUGUACUUAACGUUUGCUGUUUUCUCCCCUGGCUUUCAGCAAACUACAGGAGGGAUUUGAAGGCAGGCUGUGAGUAUUUCAGAAUUAAAAAAGCCAGGGAAGUCACUCCCGUGAAGCUCAGUUCCCUGCUUGAAACCCCGUGAAUUGCCGCCGUGGACAGCUUGGCUGCCGCGAAGAGUUCGUCUCUGUUGCUCCGGGGUUUUCCUGCCGGGAAUCUGUCAAUCUGAGCAGAAUAAAACCGAGCGAGGUGCCUCUGCCGAACCCCAGGUGGUCCGGUUAGACAACCUAGGCUCGAACAAUU
RNAcentral lists this telomerase RNA (345 nucleotides) under Kryptolebias marmoratus (mangrove rivulus). Its description in RNAcentral is "Vertebrate telomerase RNA (ENSKMAG00000011311.1)". It matches the Rfam family "Vertebrate telomerase RNA". Rfam says of the family: Telomerase is a ribonucleoprotein reverse transcriptase that synthesises telomeric DNA. Telomerase RNAs differ greatly in sequence and structure between vertebrates, ciliates and yeasts, but they share a 5' pseudoknot structure close to the template sequence. Lineage: Eukaryota; Metazoa; Chordata; Actinopteri; Cyprinodontiformes; Rivulidae. The record is from Rfam by way of RNAcentral.